UGGCAAUGAGGAUGACAAUAUUGUAAUGACUUCACGUGAUUUUAAAAUACGCUAUUCUGAGCCUUGU
Triplophysa rosa is the source of this 67-nucleotide small nucleolar RNA. RefSeq annotates it as small nucleolar RNA U54. Lineage: Eukaryota; Metazoa; Chordata; Actinopteri; Cypriniformes; Nemacheilidae. The transcript has a single exon. The record is from RefSeq and is a predicted model, not a curated record.